GUGCUCGCUUUGGCAGCAUAUAUAGUAAAAUUGGAACAAUACGGAGAAGAUUAGCAUGGCCCCUGCGCAAGGAUGACACUCAAAUUUGUGAAGCAUUCUGUAUUAAA
This 107-nucleotide small nuclear RNA is filed under the name Ursus thibetanus thibetanus. The record is from RNAcentral. Lineage: Eukaryota; Metazoa; Chordata; Mammalia; Carnivora; Ursidae.